UGGGGAAUAUUGGACAAUGGGCGCAAGCCUGAUCCAGCCAUGCCGCGUGAGUGAUGAAGGCCCUAGGGUUGUAAAGCUCUUUCACCGGUGAAGAUAAUGACGGUAACCGGAGAAGAAGCCCCGCUAACUUCGUGCCAGCAGCCGCGGUAAUACGAAGGGGGCUAGCGUUGUUCGGAUUUACUGGGCGUAAAGCGCACGUAGGCGGACUUUUAAGUCAGGGGUGAAAUCCCGGGGCUCAACCCCGGAACUGCCUUUGAUACUGGAAGUCUUGAGUAUGGUAGAGGUGAGUGGAAUUCCGAGUGUAGAGGUGAAAUUCGUAGAUAUUCGGAGGAACACCAGUGGCGAAGGCGGCUCACUGGACCAUUACUGACGCUGAGGUGCGAAAGCGUGGGGAGCAAACAGG
RNAcentral lists this ribosomal RNA (403 nucleotides) under Actinomycetes bacterium. RNAcentral describes it as "Actinobacteria bacterium partial 16S ribosomal RNA". It matches the Rfam family "Bacterial small subunit ribosomal RNA", at positions 355 to 776 of the family's 1533-position model. Lineage: Bacteria; Bacillati; Actinomycetota; Actinomycetes. The record is from RNAcentral.